GCGAUUGGGACCCUUCCGAUUCCAAGAAGUGCCGCCGGGGUUUGCCAUCUAUCCCUUUGCCUUCUCUCUCUCACCAGGUUUAGGCUUAGGUUUUUCGAUGUAUUUCCGGUUAAUCUUUUUGGAGAGGUCAGCAUCAGCUACUCGGAAUUGAUUUCGUUCAAAGAAGGUAGGUUCCUUGUGGACCCUUAUAACUUUGUUCUUUCCUUUUCCUUGUGGCUGAGGAGUGUUUUGGUUUCCGAGCUCCACUUUCGAGUACUCGGUUUCUGUGAUGCUGGCUUAAUCGGUUCCAACCGACCCGUCUUGAAACACGGACCAAGGAGUCUAACAUAUGUGCGAGUAUGCGGGUUUUACUCCUGUAUGCGCAAUGAAAGUGAGAGUAGGGAGAUUUUGGCUUUGCCAUUCUUCGCACCUACGACCGACCACGAUCUCUGAGAGAGGUUUGAGUUGGAGCAUAUCUGUUAGGACCCGAAAGAUGGUGAACUAUGCCUGAGUAGAAUGAAGUCAGGGGAAACCCUGAUGGAGGUUCGUAGCGAUACUGACGUGCAAAUCGUUCGUCAAACUUGGGUAUAGGGGC
RNAcentral lists this ribosomal RNA (574 nucleotides) under Hammondia heydorni. Its description in RNAcentral is "LSU rRNA". It matches the Rfam family "Eukaryotic large subunit ribosomal RNA", at positions 419 to 924 of the family's 3401-position model. Lineage: Eukaryota; Apicomplexa; Conoidasida; Eucoccidiorida; Sarcocystidae. The record is from RNAcentral.